GGGGCGUUAGUUUACAUGGUAAAAUCACGCUGUUGCAUAGCGUAGUAGCUAGUUCGAUUCUAGCACGCUCCA
This is a non-coding RNA of Monosiga brevicollis MX1, 72 nucleotides long. The record is from the annotation of a RefSeq genome assembly. NCBI's taxonomy places the organism in Eukaryota, Choanoflagellata, Craspedida, Salpingoecidae.